CUAGGAGUGGCCGGGCAGAGGUGAAGUGCUUCAGGUGCUGCGGUGGUCUUGGGACAGGCUGAUUUGAUACAAGGAGGAAUGGGAACCGGAAAGAAGAGACAUCGCUUCCAGUGUUGACCGGAAUGGGGAAAGAGCACUGCUGUGAACUCUGUUGGGUGGAGCCACUUGGGUGAAAUGGGCAAAUGAAGUCUGCAUUUGAAUAAGUCUUAGGCGGUGUCCUUAUUUAACCUGGAUGCAAAAAAAAGGAGACAAAAAUGCGCAACUCAAGAAGAAACAUGACACACAUCCUUCAUUAUUAACAUCAUGAAAAAACUCAUCUAAAGGGUAUCCCUGGGAUUGAUGGCUGCCUACUUGAAUAAUCUCUUCGAUGAAUACUAUUCACAUCUCAUGGCUCUCACUAGGAAGCACUAGCAGCCCAGCACAGAGUUCUGCUUUCACUUAACUUGUAAGAGAGUGAAGAGGCCUUGCCAAGGUUCAGAAAAGGAUAACAAAGCAUAAGCUCUUUAAUGGGGUGUAAUAACAUAAAAGUCUAAGUGCACCGAAGCCCUUUCCCACAAGCAAGACCUGAUUGCGGGGCUGGCAUUCGGGCUGACGACGACCAUCACACAUGGGGAAACAGCACUACGGAGAAACAAAAGUAAUUCCACUGAAAUGAGCCAAGUAUGGGCUUUGGGGAAAAUAAGGAUCUGCCUGUUAAGCUUUGCUAAGAUCAGGAUCUCUGUGAUUUAUAGUAUUUUCCAUGGAACUGGGUUUAUUUUUAUGGAAGAAAAUUGUAGGAUCUAGAAAACAUUUAGUUUAGUGAAGCCCUGUUUGAAUUCUUUAAGCAAGCUGAAAUACUCUUUU
Molecule: long non-coding RNA, 843 nt
Organism: Balaenoptera acutorostrata (minke whale)
Lineage: Eukaryota; Metazoa; Chordata; Mammalia; Artiodactyla; Balaenopteridae
Exons: 3
Source: RefSeq, a predicted model, not a curated record